This is a long non-coding RNA of Nerophis ophidion (straightnose pipefish), 1368 nucleotides long. RefSeq lists it as uncharacterized. Lineage: Eukaryota; Metazoa; Chordata; Actinopteri; Syngnathiformes; Syngnathidae. The transcript has 2 exons. The record is from RefSeq and is a predicted model, not a curated record.
ACGGGAAAUAUGACCCCCUCUGUGGUAUUGUAUGUAGUGUAAACAUGGCCACUGUAUUUCUUAUAUUGCUUUGGCAUAGUCACGACAGCUUCAAUUGUGCGAUUAUUAUUACACAGUGCACACCUGUCCCAGGGAAGCCGGAUUCUGAUUUAGUGUGCAAACUGGAGGUGAUUUGCAGGGUCCCCCUUACAUGACAUUAAGACUGUAAUCAGAGCUUCGUGAGGAGAGGUCCAUACUGAAGAUCAUAUUUGACAAAAGCGGGAUGAUGCGAUGGGAGAGAAGAAGAGAAAAUACAACCGAGGUCGGGGGGGGAAAAAACAGAAAAAAGAGGUAAAGGGUGCUUAGUGGUUUGCUGAAGCUGCCAUCCCCCCCUCUUCUGAUGGUCAAGACAUUAAAAGAAGCUAAAGAGAGGAGAGACAAAAAAAAAAGAUGUGGCCGUUAGAGAAGCACAAAUCUGGCGUGAGGAGGAGAAAAGUGUUGAUUAGAAUGCACGUGAUUGUCUCCAACAUUGUCAUCCAAGUGGAAAAUGUGUUAAUCACAGAAACAGGAGAGGAAGCAAAAAGUGGGGAUUAACAUAAAAAGGACCCAGGAAAAGGGAUUUCUUAAAAAAAAAAAAAAAGUGCUGGAAUUUGAGGACGGUCCCUUACUCGGUGCAGAACCAGGGAGAACUGCAAAGGAAAUACACACAAACCAGUAAAGGGAGGACCUCUGGGAAGGACCCCAGCGUCUGCAUUUCAUCUCAUCAAUGAAGUCAGGAAAUAUAGACAGCAAGCGCACCUUCUUACACACGUCACCACGGAGCAGAGAGGGAGCGGCAUGGGUAAUGUUUGCUGUGGUGCUAGCGGAGCCGUGCGAGUGGUAAUACAAGAGAAAGAAGGUGCGGAUCUGGUAACAAAUGAAGGAAGAUUUAAUUCCCAAGAAAAACAGCAAGGGGUCCAUCGUCUGGCGGUGGUUUGGCUUCAAGUGGGAAUAUGUCGAACAGACAACCGUAAUUUGUCAAGGUGGUGCUAAAGCAUUGCUACAAAAAGUAGCAUUACUGCUAAUAUGUAGCAUCAUUUGAAAAGUCACGUGCUAGAGAAUGAAGAGUGCUUACUCCGCAUGUCAACAUCUCUAUUCGGUGCCACACGCCCACAAAAUCAUGCACAAAAGUACACUUUAUUUGUUUUUAACUAUUGGAGUGGCGUUCCGUACAAAAAGUGCACUUUAAUUUAGUGUUGUUUUGCUAUGUCAUCUUAGUGACAUCAUGCACAAAAGUGCACUCAUAGCUUGUUUUAAAAUGUCUCUGACAAUCUUGCACUUUCUGUUUUGGAAAUGACAUGAAUGUUUGUGCCACUGCUUAAUAACUUUAAUAAAUACAGUUUUGGUCAA